This 460-nucleotide ribosomal RNA is filed under the name uncultured bacterium. Its description in RNAcentral is "partial 16S ribosomal RNA". It matches the Rfam family "Bacterial small subunit ribosomal RNA", at positions 338 to 795 of the family's 1533-position model. The record is from RNAcentral.
CCUACGGGAGGCAGCAGUGAGGAAUAUUGGUCAAUGGGCGGGAGCCUGAACCAGCCAAGUCGCGUGAGGGAAGACGGUCCUAUGGAUUGUAAACCUCUUUAGGCGGGGAGCAAUGCCGGGCACGUGUGCCCGGAGGGAGAGUACCCGCAGAAUAAGCAUCGGCUAACUCCGUGCCAGCAGCCGCGGUAAUACGGAGGAUGCGAGCGUUAUCCGGAUUUAGUGGGUUUAAAGGGUGCGUAGGCGGAUUUUUAAGUCAGCGGUAAAAUGUCCGGGCUCAACCCGGGCCGGCCGUGGACACUGGGGAUCUUGAGUGGGCGAGAAGUAUGCGGAAUGCGUGGUGUAGCGGUGCAAUGCAUAGAUAUCACGCAGAACUCCGAUUGCGAAGGCAGCAUACCGGCGCCCGACUGACGCUGAGGCACGAAAGCGUGGGGAUCGAACAGGAUUAGAUACCCCUGUAGUC